Drosophila pseudoobscura is the source of this 656-nucleotide long non-coding RNA. RefSeq lists it as uncharacterized. The transcript has 2 exons. The record is from RefSeq and is a predicted model, not a curated record. Lineage: Eukaryota; Metazoa; Arthropoda; Insecta; Diptera; Drosophilidae.
UAUAGGGAAUUGGUUAUCUUCUUUCGUCUCGUGAGACCCCCUAGUGAUAUUUCGAACGAUCAAGCUUUAGCCGCUCUUAAGGUUGGAUCAAAGCCUUAGCCGCUCUUAAGUCCGAACACCCACGAACACAUACAAGCGACGGACAGUGGGAAGCAUAGAGGGCAAUCGUACGAUUGCACAGUUAAGCUAUGCUGUGCAUUAGACGAUCGUUUUAUGCUGCUGCGAAUGUUCUGGAUCAUACGAUUGCACAGUUAGUAAAAAGCUCAAAAGCUCUGCUGCACUGGCUACUCAGUCCAUCGUCUAUUACUGCUUUGAACAAUAUAAGAAAGUUGAUCGAUCUGUAAAGACGUGAUAAUUUCCGAGUGCGAGCAACAUACAUAUUGCACACACAUAUAUAUAGUGCUAUCCGGAAAAUAUAUAUAUUUCCACAAAUAUAUGCUGGAAGCAUAUAGUUACAAGUGCCGUACAGUUCAGUGGUCAGUGAAUGACAAGAAUUUAGUGCAGAUAUAUUUGGAAAAAGAGGGAGGUGUACCUAAGCUGCCCCAUCGCGGUAUAGUCUCGAGAAGACUACCCUGGGAGCUGGCUUAGGCGAACAGUUGUCGAGGUUUCUCCAACUCCAACCAUAAUUCAUCGUUUCUGGACCUUAUAUUGCCACC